This 606-nucleotide unclassified non-coding RNA is filed under the name Drosophila virilis. RNAcentral's name for it is "GJ26757". The record is from RNAcentral. Lineage: Eukaryota; Metazoa; Arthropoda; Insecta; Diptera; Drosophilidae.
CCGUCGCAACGUGGAAAUCGAAAACUUUUUAACAGAGAUUUAUGUCGAAAUUGCUAUCAGAUUUGAUAAUUGCGCUCAGAGGUCGCGCUUUUCUAUGCGCCAGGCGCCGCCAGCCAUGUACAGGCCGCCACACAGGCGCCGACGCAUUCAUUUGCUGAUGCGCAAUAAGCCUCGCAUGGGCAUUUGACCGCAUCCGACGACGCCUCCGCUGGCUUAUUGGAUUGUGCUGCCGCUUCUUAUGGACACCACUAUGCAGACAGGAGUCGCUGCAUAUAAAAGUGUCGUGCGCAUGGUGUGCAUUUUGGAUUCCAUAUGGGCCACGCUCAGUCGGCCAGUUUGGACUUCUUCGAGGCCGGAGCAUGGCCAUUGACCAUUGCAGCUCCGUCUGCAGGGGCGCCCGCACGAGUUCCGCGUGUGCUGGGAGGCAGGUAUGGCUGCUGUGAAAAACAUCGGAUAUGGCCCAGCCACAGCCAGUGCCUCCUGGCCGAUACGCUGCUGCUGCCACUGCCGCUUGUCAGGCAGCAGCUCAUCUUGGAGCGGCCCUUGCAGUCGCCUCCGAAUUGACGCCAUUUGGCGUCGAUUGUCGUUGCUGCAAAUCAUGCUCGG